UCAGGAUGAACGCUAGCUACAGGCUUAACACAUGCAAGUCGAGGGGUAACAGGAGAGAAGCUUGCUUUCUUGCUGACGACCGGCGCACGGGUGAGUAACGCGUAUCCAACCUUCCCCUUAGUAGCGGAUAGCCCGGCGAAAGUCGGAUUAAUACGCUAUGUUCUUCGUUGAUGGCAUCUGAUGUGAAGCAAAGAUUUAUCGCUAAGGGAUGGGGAUGCGUCUGAUUAGGUAGUCGGCGGGGUAACGGCCCACCGAGCCAUCGAUCAGUAGGGGUUCUGAGAGGAAGGUCCCCCACACUGGUACUGAGACACGGACCAGACUCCUACGGGAGGCAGCAGUGAGGAAUAUUGGUCAAUGGGCGCGAGCCUGAACCAGCCAAGUAGCGUGCAGGAAUGGCUGCCCUAUGGGUUGUAAACUGCUUUUAUCAGGGAAUAAAGUGAGGCACGUGUGCCUUUUUGUAUGUACCUGAUGAAUAAGGACCGGCUAAUUCCGUGCCAGCCGCCGC
RNAcentral lists this ribosomal RNA (505 nucleotides) under uncultured bacterium. Its description in RNAcentral is "bacterial SSU rRNA". It matches the Rfam family "Bacterial small subunit ribosomal RNA", at positions 24 to 518 of the family's 1533-position model. The record is from RNAcentral.